This 303-nucleotide ribosomal RNA is filed under the name uncultured bacterium. Its description in RNAcentral is "partial 16S ribosomal RNA". It matches the Rfam family "Bacterial small subunit ribosomal RNA", at positions 507 to 807 of the family's 1533-position model. The record is from RNAcentral.
AGCAGUCGCCACGGGAACACGGAGGGUGCAAGCGUUAAUCGGAAUUACUGGGCGUAAAGCGUGCGUAGGCGGUUCGUUAAGUCUGUUGUGAAAGCCCCGGGCUCAACCUGGGAAUGGCAAUGGAUACUGGCGAGCUAGAGUGUGUCAGAGGAUGGUGGAAUUCCCGGUGUAGCGGUGAAUUGCGUAGAGAUCGGGAGGAACACCAGUGGCGAAGGCGACUACCUGGUCUGGCAUUGACGCUCAUGUGCGAAAGCGUGGGGAGCAAACAGGAUUAGAUACCCCAGUAGUCCCUGUCUCUUAUAC